AAAAGGAAAAUGACUAAUUUGAACGCGCGAAUAACAGGGAAGGACUGAAAGGGUAAUAAUCUCCUCCCUCCAAAACGCGUAGGUUCAAUAGGGACUAAAUUGGAAACCAAGACAAAUUAAUGGGGCCAAAUUAAAAAAAAUGGAAGAACUUGAUUGUAAAAAAAAAGAAAAAAUUGGAAGGGAUAAAAUUAGCCCUUUCGACAAAAACACG
This 211-nucleotide long non-coding RNA is filed under the name Gossypium raimondii (Peruvian cotton). RNAcentral describes it as "long non-coding RNA (GRAI_LNC009149)". The record is from RNAcentral. Lineage: Eukaryota; Viridiplantae; Streptophyta; Magnoliopsida; Malvales; Malvaceae.